This 3892-nucleotide long non-coding RNA is filed under the name Nilaparvata lugens (brown planthopper). RNAcentral describes it as "uncharacterized LOC120354025". The record is from RNAcentral. Lineage: Eukaryota; Metazoa; Arthropoda; Insecta; Hemiptera; Delphacidae.
CAUACACUCUCAUCCCAACAAAACAGUAAAAUUCGACAUUAAUCAACAGUAAUCGGCUUGAGAUAACAGUAAAAUUUGCGACAUAAACGCCCUAUACCAUACUUACGCUAUUGUUUUUCUAUGGUAUUAUGAAGUCACAAAUUCCAGAUUUAUAUGACGUCACUAAUGUUUUAUUAUAAGGUCAUUGUGUAUUAUGAAGUCACAAACUCCAGAUUUAUAUGACGUCACUAAUGUAUCAUUAUAAGAUCAUUGUGUUUAUGAAGUCACAAAUUCCAGAUUUAUAUGAUGUCGAAUGUCUUAUCAUAAGGUCAUUGAGUAUGACGUCACAAAUUCCAGAUUUCAGAUUUAUAUGACGUCACUAAUGUCUUAUUAUAAGGUCUGUUGCUCAAGAUAUCAUAUAACUUGUCACAAAUAAUAUAAUUGGUCGAUUGAAUGAAACCUAGAAUCUAGUGUCUAGCAGCUAGUCAUUGGCUCUAUAGUGAAGUCCACGUUAUAAUGGCAGUGUUUGAUUGGCAAUGGUAUUGCUAUCCUUGUCUAUCAUUCAACAAAGCGGUUAGCGCUAUCUCUUUCUCGCUUUUAACGUGGACCUCACUAUAGCUUUACAAAUAAGAUGAUACAGCUGUCUCAAAUAGCCUACUAGUAUUUGCUUGAAAAUUACUUAUGCCCGAUUGAACAAAAAACGGUUAAAUUUUAACCGAGAUUAAUUUCACGAGUACCAAUCAGAUAAGCCGUCUUUACUAAAAAGCUUUCUUUGAUUGGUUGUCGUGAAAUUAAUUAUUCACGAUAAAAAUUUAACCGGCUUUUCUGCAACCGGCACUUAGAAUUGCAAUUGCUAGCUUUUAUUGAAUCGACCUAUUAUUGGUUUCAUUGAGUUUCUAUUGAUGACGUCUUCGAAUUGUUAUUGAUAAUUCCAUCAAUCACCUCAUAAAAAAAUCAUUUUUCAUCUCACCAAUGAGGUGAUAUAGAUUGAGCUCUAUCAUUUUGUAUACGUAUAUUGUCAGGUAAUUGAUCUGAAUUUGCUAUUAAUACAUCAUAUAUUAUAUUAUUUAAAGUUUCACUUUAAACUCUUGGAGGCCCUGUUGCACAAAAGACCGUUAAAUUUUAAUCAUGCUGAUUAAAUUCCAAGAGAACGAGUCAUAGAAGGUUUUUGUGAGAAGAAGGCUUCUCUGAUUGGUUAUCGUGGCAUUUAAUCGGGAUUAGAACUUAACAGUGUUUUGUGCAACCGGCAAGUGACUGCAUUUUUUAAAAAUAUAUCAUCAAGAAUCCCCAUGCUGGAAGCUUGGAGUGAAUAUCACUUAAUGGUAUUCAUUACAACUAUUUAUCAUGAAUAUAAAUGAUGUAUAAAAGGAGUUCCAAACAACGAAUUAGAAUAAAUAAAAAUACGAACAUAUUCUCCUAUCUAUUGGUUUCAAUAUAAUUCCAAUAUUUGAUGUUCAAUAUUGUAUUAUAUUCAUUAACCUUCCGGUAGUCGCGCCCUAAUCAAUAUCACGAGCAGUCGCGUGUUGUAUUUUGUACAACAUCCAAUUUCCCAAGUGUUAUGUACUCUGUUUACUGUCAAAACUUACUGUAUUAAUUAAUUGUAUAAUUACUUUUUCCAUCUUCUUAGAUUAUUUUACGCCUAUGAACAUUUGAAUGAUUACCAUUUCAUAGCCCAAUAAUGUACACCAAGCAAAGCCAUCAAUUCUGUGUUGUUGGUUCGUUUACAGUCCCCGUAUACAGUCUUUCCCUAUCUUAUGCAAUGCACUGUGGCGACUAAAUGGCACCUAAAGACUGAACCAUUGCUCGGUUGAUACUGCAACUCAGUGGAGUGAUAGGGGAAAGUUUUGGAAUGCAUAGGUGACUCAUUCACUGACACCACCCCAUUCAAUAGGUUUGUGCAGCAAAAACUGACACUGUUGUACUUUUUACAACAGGGCGACUGCCGGAAGGUUAAUUUAAAACAUUCCAUGUGUCAUUCCUUGAAAGAUCUUUUCGAUAUUUCAUUCUCUUUCAUUUUUACAUUCCAAUUGCAUAAUUCCAUCCAUUUUUGUUGGCUAAUACCAUAGCCACCUCUAAGGCCAGCCGCAAAGUAGACCCACGCUAAUCCACGAAAAGCAACCCACGCCGUGGGAUGUUUUGUAAACCCUUGCUAUAGAAUUAUUCAUAAUCAAUCAGCUGACAAGUGGAUUAUUCAUUACAUGUGUUACACAGAUGUGUGGAGAAGCUUAGCACGGUAUAUUAUGACCCACGGUAUAUAGAAGAAUAAUAUAAAUACGGUGGGUAUCACCUACAUAUUAUAGGUAUCCUAUCACUUACUUCAUUCCUUGUUCUAUUUUAUACAUUCCAAAUGUGUACUUUUCAAACAUUCCAUUUUUCAUUUCAGCCUAUACAUCAUGACAUGCAUUAUAUUUCAUUUGACACAUGAAGGAUUUAAUGUGUUAUUUUAAACAUUCCAUGUUCUAUUGUAUACAUGACUUGCAUCAUCCAAUUAUUGAUGUGCAAAUUUACACAAGAACAAACGUCCAUGGAAAUUAUCAUGUGGGCUAAAAUAUAAAUGAAUUUUAGAGUAUCUAUAGGUGCGUACAGAUUUACGCGCCGCGAACAUGAGCAAUUCACCUUUAAUCAGCUGAUGCCAAGCUUUUUAUAUCUGUAUCUUACCGUUUCUGUAGAAAUACAGAUAUAGUCAGCUGAUUAAAAGUGAAUUGCUCAUGUUCGCGGCACCUUAAGACUUGCAUCAUCCCAAUAUUAAUGUGAAAAUUGUCACAAGAACAAACGUCCAAGAAAAUUAUCAUAUAGGCCUAGCUCAAAUAUGAAUGAAUUUUAGAGUAUUUGGUAAGGUGAAAAACAUAUAUGAACAUUUUGAUGGUAUGAAUAUUUUUGUUAUAUCAAUGAACAAAGGUUUUCAUUCUGUUUUUAUCUAGGGACGAACAAAUUUCAUACUUUUGUACAGCAUUUUCUAUUGAAUAAUCUAUUUCUUAGAAUUUUUUACAAGUUUUGGACUUUUUAGAGGGUGUAUUAAGCUCUUAUUUUUGUGCCAAAUAACUUAGUAGGUAUUGUAUAAUGAUUAAUUAUUUAUAUUAUAAAAUAUCAUGGAUGCAACGUUGAAGUAUAUAAAGAAAUUUGAUCAAAGUUGAAAGAACGUAGAUAAUAUGAAUUUAUUUAUUUAAAGAUAAAUUUAUGAUGUGCUAAAAGUAAAUAUUGUGAAAAUUGUUAAUAAUAAAAUCUUGGAGAUCAUGUCAUAUCUUUUAAAAAUACAUUUACAAUAUAAACAUCUAUUCCAACUAUCUAUUCAUCUAUUAUUAAAUUUUUGUAAAAAUUAUUAGUAAUAGAAUCUUGUAGAUCAUGUCCCAUCUUUCAAAACAUAUUUGCAAUAAAAUAGUCUAUUUCAACACCUAUUAAUGAUAUCAAUUUUUAUUCAAAUUUAGUAAAUUAACACCAAUAAUAAUUUGUUGAAAAUGUUUUGGAAUUGGAUUUUAUCUGAAUUAUAUUUUAAUAAAAUUACAGCCUAAACAUGAUCUCCAAGAUUUGAUCACUUAUUAAUGAAUCUCAAAGGUUUAUACUUUCUAAGGAAAGUUAACUUAAAUGAUCGAUCUGUAUUAUCAUCUCUGUUAUUCCACUUAAUAAUAUUUAUAUUGAAUUUUAUAUCAAGGAAAGUUAACUUGAAUGACCGUUCUGUAUUAUAAUCUCUGUUAUUCCACUAAAUAUUUAUAUUGAAUUUGAUAAAAAAAUUUUGUCAAAUGAAAGAAAAAUUGAAUCAAGAUUUAUCAAUUCAUACGUACAAAUUUUAAUGGUAUCCAGUAUUGCUAAUUAAUUAGGAUUAACAAUGUUGUAGUUAAAUGAAAAAUAUGUAUAUUUAUUUUAUAUUAUGAAUAUAUUAUUAAACACUGUUUACAAAAUAAAUUAAUUUUACUCA